AAAGAAACCAUAAAGAAAAGCUUCUAACUUUUCAAAAAGCAACUAAUGUUUAU
RNAcentral lists this transfer RNA (53 nucleotides) under Conderis signicollis. RNAcentral describes it as "partial tRNA-Ser". The record is from RNAcentral. Lineage: Eukaryota; Metazoa; Arthropoda; Insecta; Coleoptera; Lycidae.